This 551-nucleotide ribosomal RNA is filed under the name Bifidobacterium longum subsp. infantis. Its description in RNAcentral is "bacterial SSU rRNA". It matches the Rfam family "Bacterial small subunit ribosomal RNA", at positions 146 to 711 of the family's 1533-position model. RNAcentral also lists the same sequence under 2 other names. Lineage: Bacteria; Bacillati; Actinomycetota; Actinomycetes; Bifidobacteriales; Bifidobacteriaceae. The record is from RNAcentral.
UCUCCUGGAAAACGGGUGGUAAUGCCGGAUGCUCCAGUUGAUCGCAUGGUCUUCUGGGAAAGCUUUCGCGGUAUGGGAUGGGGUCGCGUCCUAUCAGCUUGACGGCGGGGUAACGGCCCACCGUGGCUUCGACGGGUAGCCGGCCUGAGAGGGCGACCGGCCACAUUGGGACUGAGAUACGGCCCAGACUCCUACGGGAGGCAGCAGUGGGGAAUAUUGCACAAUGGGCGCAAGCCUGAUGCAGCGACGCCGCGUGAGGGAUGGAGGCCUUCGGGUUGUAAACCUCUUUUAUCGGGGAGCAAGCGAGAGUGAGUUUACCCGUUGAAUAAGCACCGGCUAACUACGUGCCAGCAGCCGCGGUAAUACGUAGGGUGCAAGCGUUAUCCGGAAUUAUUGGGCGUAAAGGGCUCGUAGGCGGUUCGUCGCGUCCGGUGUGAAAGUCCAUCGCUUAACGGUGGAUCCGCGCCGGGUACGGGCGGGCUUGAGUGCGGUAGGGGAGACUGGAAUUCCCGGUGUAACGGUGGAAUGUGUAGAUAUCGGAAAGAACACCA